GUGGGUGUAGCUCAGUUGGUAGAGCGCAGGCUUGUGGUGCCUGACGUCGCGGGUUCAAGCCCCGUCACCCACCCCA
RNAcentral lists this transfer RNA (76 nucleotides) under Myxococcales bacterium. Its description in RNAcentral is "tRNA-His". It matches the Rfam family "tRNA". From Rfam's summary of the family: Transfer RNA (tRNA) molecules are approximately 80 nucleotides in length. Their secondary structure includes four short double-helical elements and three loops (D, anti-codon, and T loops). Lineage: Bacteria; Pseudomonadati; Myxococcota; Myxococcia; Myxococcales. The record is from RNAcentral.